Molecule: non-coding RNA, 2184 nt
Organism: Chrysemys picta bellii (western painted turtle)
Lineage: Eukaryota; Metazoa; Chordata; Testudines; Emydidae
Source: RefSeq, a predicted model, not a curated record
AUUAAAAUGUAUUACCGGCACGCAAAACCUUAAAUUAAAGUGAAUAAAUGAAGACUCUGCCUACCACUUCUGAAAGGUUGCCUACCCCUGGUAUAGUAUAUGAUCUAUUUAUUUUAAUAAGAGCAUUGAGGAAAUAGGAUAAGCAUUAUUAUCCACUUUUAGUAAAUUUCUACUGGAAUGGCAGACAUGGCUACAUUUUACUAUUAUAAAUGCUGUCUAACGUGAAAGCUGCUGUGGCUUUAAGUAUUGUAAAUCUUAUGCUACAGAGAGUUUAGCUGACCUAUCAGAAAGGUAUGUUAGCCGUUUGUGGUCUUGAAUAGUAACAGGGCAGCUGUAAUAGAACAUCUCAAAGGUUGCUUUGACCUGAGAAGCAGAGACUUCAGAAGCAGCACAGGUUAAGUAAUGUCAUCUUUCCACUUUCAAUCAUCAAGAACAGAUUGUUUAAACAGGACUGAAACUUGGAAUAAAGUGGAGAUGUGUGCUUUUCAAAAGAACCAGAACUACAGGAAGUCUUAUCCUUAAAUAUAGGGGGAAUAUCACCAUAGCUGUUUACAGGUGAAAAUCUUUCUGUAUUUUCCAUCACUCCUACUCUGGUCGUUGAAAGCAGUUCUAUGGAAUGGCAUCUCUCCACAGUGUUUGAUAUUCCUUGAAUCUGACUGCGAGAUGCGCCAGACCUAUCAGAAGAAUGGGCCCUCCGAAGAUAACGUGAAUGUGGCCUCUCUUCAGUAAGUUGCAUUGUUCUUCCCCUACCACUUAUGCCAGUUUCUUUUCCCUGAAUUCCCCAAUGAUUAUAAGAACUGCUUCCAUCCACAGAUGAAAUGUCACUGGAAUUCUUAUUUUUAGGAAAUACAGUCAUUUUAUUUGGGAGUGGCUGACCAACCAAGAGCUUUUUCUUUUCCUUCAAGCAACCACUUACACUGACACUGGAAGAGCCAGUAAAGGCUGUAGAGAUUGUGGCAUUUCCACUGUCCAUUGAAUCCUCCACGGUUCCUGAAUCUUUACUUCGUGCCGAGUUAUAUCUGGACAUAAAAGGAUGAUCCAGUACAGAUGAAAGACUUAAACGAUCUGCUGGGUUUUUACGAAGUAACCGGUGUACAAGGUCUUGAGCUUCCCCUGACAAACAAGUUGGCAUUUCAUAAUCUGCUAAUACUACUUUAUUCAAUGUGUUCUUGACUGUGUCAGUGUCAAAAGGUGGUUUCCCAAUAAGAAGAGUAUAGAACAUACACCCCAAAGACCACACAUCAGAUUCAAGUCCAUGUGCACUCCGUGUGGCUAUUUCUGGAGAAAUGUAAUUAGGAGUUCCACACAUUGUGUAAUGCUUUUCAUGAGGCAUUUUCAAUUGCGUUGCUAGUCCAAAAUCAGCAAUCUUGAUGUUCAUAUUACUGGUGAGUAGAAGGUUAGAAAGGGUGAGGUCCCGAUGUAAUAUUCCAUGAGAAUGAAGAUACAACAUCCCUGUGAUAAUCUGAUGCAUAAAGUGUCGCGCUGUUAGAACACAAAAUAUAAAAUCUGGUUUUAGUAGAAUAUUUGAAACAGUAAGUAUCAAAACAUGACUUUUUAAGUAUCUUCUUAUCUGCCCCAAUCUGACCCAUUUAUUAGGAUCAAAUUACUACUAAAAAUGUGUAAUGUAACUAUCAUUAUAUUAAAGAGAUUAGAGGAGAGAUUAUUUGCUGUUACCAUACUGCUUAGCUGCCUCACCAAGACUGUGUGUUUCUAAGGCAAAUCCAUGAAACACGGAAAUGGCGCUUGUAAUCCAGUAAUCAAAUCUAUUUCUUUGCCACUGUGCAAAACCACACUGAAUCAAGAACUUGAGUACAAAUUGAAAAUAUUUAAAACUGGCCCUAGAUGCUUUGACAACUUGUUAACAUGGGAUUUUAUUUUUGAACACCCUAGAACAGUGGCUUUUAAACUGUGGUCCGCAGACCGCUGGGGGUCUACAGGCUACAUCUAAUGGGUCUGCAAAAGGUUGUUGUUACCAGAGAAGGGUGGUUUUCAGCCUGUGGUCCAUGGGGCUCCGCAGACUAAGUCUAAAAUUUCCAAACGGGUCAAACAACUCCAUUUGCAAAUGUUUAGGGGUCCGCAAAUAAAAAAAGGUUGAAAAAAAAAAUCACUGCCCUAGAAGUUAGUAUAUAAAGCAGAUUCCUAGAACCAAUUUGUUUUGUGUGAUGUAUAGGUUAUAUAUACACA